RNAcentral lists this transfer-messenger RNA (397 nucleotides) under uncultured Acetatifactor sp. It matches the Rfam family "transfer-messenger RNA". From Rfam's summary of the family: Bacterial tmRNA, also known as 10Sa RNA or SsrA, is named for its dual tRNA and mRNA-like properties. Its role is to liberate the mRNA from a stalled ribosome. To accomplish this part of the tmRNA is used as a reading frame that ends in a translation stop signal. The record is from RNAcentral. Lineage: Bacteria; Bacillati; Bacillota; Clostridia; Lachnospirales; Lachnospiraceae.
GGGGUAGUAAAGGUUUCGACAGGGGUCUUGCAGCUGGAGAAGCUAUCCGUUGUGACACGUUAAUCACAAAACAAAAAUAAACGCUGAAGAUAAUACUCAGUUAGCAUUUGCAGCGUAAGCUGAAUAGUCAGCUUUGCUGUAAAUGACGCUGCCUCAGGCAGCUUGUCCGCUUCGGGGCACUCACACUCCGAAACCCGGGCAUCGACUAUGUGAGAAACGACAUGCGUUAAGCUUUGCGCGUAUGGGCGUAAAAUGAAGCUACUGAAUGAGGCAGGCUGUUCGUUUCCUGCUUCAGGAGGGAACAGGCCGAAGUAAGUUUGGCCAAGAUAACGGACUAUGAUAGUAGAAGUACAGGGAAUGGGCUUUUGGACACGGGUUCGACUCCCGUCUACUCCAU